GAUGAGCGCUGGCGGCGUGCCUAAUACAUGCAAGUCGAGCGAACAGACGAGGAGCUUGCUCCUUCGACGUUAGCGGCGGACGGGUGAGUAACACGUAGGUAACCUACCUAUAAGACUGGGAUAACUUCGGGAAACCGGAGCUAAUACCGGAUAAUAUUUCGAACCGCAUGGUUCGAUAGUGAAAGAUGGCUUUGCUAUCACUUAUAGAUGGACCUGCGCCGUAUUAGCUAGUUGGUAAGGUAACGGCUUACCAAGGCAACGAUACGUAGCCGACCUGAGAGGGUGAUCGGCCACACUGGAACUGAGACACGGUCCAGACUCCUACGGGAGGCAGCAGUAGGGAAUCUUCCGCAAUGGGCGAAAGCCUGACGGAGCAACGCCGCGUGAGCGAUGAAGGUCUUCGGAUCGUAAAACUCUGUUAUUAGGGAAGAACAAACGUGUAAGUAACUGUGCACGUCUUGAUGGUACCUAAUCAGAAAGCCACGGCUAACUACGUG
RNAcentral lists this ribosomal RNA (497 nucleotides) under uncultured bacterium. RNAcentral's name for it is "partial 16S ribosomal RNA". It matches the Rfam family "Bacterial small subunit ribosomal RNA", at positions 28 to 507 of the family's 1533-position model. The record is from RNAcentral.